ACCAAGUGUAUUUUAACAUAACUAAAUGUUUAAACUUUAGAUCUUUAUUUUAAACUUUACCAUUAUUUUAAGAAGUUUUUGCUAGGGUAAAUGUUUUCCAUAAGUUUUUUUUUUCUUUCUUUUAUAUAUCGGAUAAAGGGAUUACAUUUGUUCUCUGAGUUUUUAUAGAAGCCCCAUCGCUAUCACCAUCACUAUUUUGAUUUUUCCAAGAUGGCCGUUUUUGUUUCGCGAACGUUCUGCGACGAGAGUUCGGCAACUUGCGUGACUUACGAACAGAACUGCCUAAUUGAGGAGGGGAUGCCCAGCUUCAGCAGCUUCAAUGUGCGAGGAACACUCCAGCCCCCUCAACAAAGCUGGAGUGCCGCUUGUGCCUG
Molecule: long non-coding RNA, 374 nt
Organism: Ixodes scapularis (black-legged tick)
Lineage: Eukaryota; Metazoa; Arthropoda; Arachnida; Ixodida; Ixodidae
Exons: 3
Source: RefSeq, a predicted model, not a curated record